Molecule: unclassified non-coding RNA, 343 nt
Filed under: soil metagenome
Description: partial contains 5.8S ribosomal RNA, internal transcribed spacer 2, and large subunit ribosomal RNA
Rfam family: 5.8S ribosomal RNA (bases 1-120)
Source: RNAcentral
GAUGAAGAACGCAGUGAAAUGCGAUAAGUAAUGUGAAUUGCAGAAUUCAGUGAAUCAUCGAAUCUUUGAACGCACAUUGCGCCCGCCAGCAUUCUGGCGGGCAUGCCUGUUCGAGCGUCAUUUCAACCCUCGACUUCCCUUUGGGGAAAUCGGCGUUGGGGACCGGCUGUAUACCGCCGGCCCCGAAAUGAAGUGGCGGCCCGUCCGCGGCGACCUCUGCGUAGUAAUCCAACUCGCACCGGAACCCCGACGUGGCCACGCCGUAAAACCCCCGACUUCUGAACGUUGACCUCGGAUCAGGUAGGAAUACCCGCUGAACUUAAGCAUAUCAAUAAGCGGAGGA